Long non-coding RNA from Oncorhynchus tshawytscha (Chinook salmon), 9482 nucleotides. The record is from Ensembl. NCBI's taxonomy places the organism in Eukaryota, Metazoa, Chordata, Actinopteri, Salmoniformes, Salmonidae.
UAUGGAGCAGGUGUUGUCUAUUCUAUAUGAGUCCUUUUGGAGCAGGUGUUGUCUAUUCUAUUUGAGUCCUUAUGGAGCAGGUGUGUUUCUUAGAGCGUUGUUAUGUUCCUUUUCUAACGGUCCACAUGUUUUCUAUCUAUUGUCACUUUCAAAAUUGAAUGUAUUUACAUGUUUUCUGUCUGGACAUGAUGAGGACAUUUUGUCAAUAAAAAGAACAAGUAAACAACCCAACAUGUGUGUUUUUUUCUGUUAUUAUUGAUAAGACUUCACAGUCACUAAAUGUUUUUAAAUGGCCCAAAAAUAAGAAACUCUUAGAACACGGAAACCGCAGAAUAAGAAACUCUUAGAACAAAGAGAACCCAGAAUAAGAAACUCUUAGAACACAGAAACCGCAGAAUAAGAAACUCUUAGAACAAAGAGAACCCAGAAUAAGAAACUCUUAGAACAAAGAGAACCCAGAAUAAGAAACUCUUAGAACACAGAACCCGCAGAAUAAGAAACUCUUAGAACAAAGAGAACCCAGAAUAAGAAACUCUUCGAACACAGAACCCGCAGAAUAAGAAACUCUUAGAACACAGAAACCGCAGAAAAAUAAACUCUUAGAACAAAGAGAACCCAGAAUAAGAAACUCUUAGAACAAAGAGAACCCAGAAUAAGAAACUCUUAGAACAAAGAGAACCCAGAAUAAGAAACUCUUAGAACACAUAAACCGCAGAAUAAUAACUUUUUGAAAAACGUUCUUUAUUGCUCUGAUCCAGGCUGGUUAGCAACGGUCGGUGCAAUCCGGGAUCCUUGGGACAUCCCAACUCUGAUUUUAUCUCAUUGACGUUGAAAUUUUAAAAGGGUGAGGUAAGGGUUGUGGUUAGGUUGUGAGUGAGCUGUAUUACAGAAUCUCCCGUUGUGAAACACUGUCUAAGAAUGGAUCUUCCUCAACUAGGACUGAACUGCAGUACAAACUCUAGCCUAUGGACUAGUAUAUUAAAUGAACUGCUGUACAGACUCUAGUCUAUGACCAUAGUUCUUAUUCCAUGCUUUCUUCGUAUCAUUUUCUCACUCGCAAUAAAGCAGAAACAACUUAACGUGGCACUGUUUACAGCCGACUCUAGAAUUCUCAGCUGAGCCACGCCAAUAACCUAAGAUGGUGUCUACGUCCCAAAUGGCAUCUUAUUCUCUAUAUAGUGCACAACUUUCGACCAGAGCCCUAUGGAACCCUAUUCCCUAUAUAGUGCACUACUUUAGACCAGGACCCUAUUCCUUAUAUAGUGCACUACUAUAGACCAGAGCCCUAUUCCCUAUAUAGUGCACUACUAUAGACCAGAGCCCUAUUCCCUAUAUAGUGUACUACUUUAGACCAGGGCCAUGUAGUGCACUCUAUAGGGAACAGGGUGCCAUUCAAGGUAUUUGAAUGCCUCUGUUAUUUUCAUAUUACAAAACGUUUUUCUGACUUGUUUCCUUUAAGGCCUACCUUUCAGGUGAGAUGAUAUCAGCUAUUCAUUCGUUCUCCAUCGAGCUGCUAAAACAGCACUUACACUAUGGAGACAUUAGACGUGAAGAGACAGUCCUGUCUGUCCAGAGGUCUACAGACUGUCCUCCUGGAGACAGUCCUGUCUGUCCAGACGUCUACAGACUGUCCUCCUGGAGACAGUCCUGUCUGUCCAGAGGUCUACAGACUGUCCUCCUGGAGACAGUCCUGUCUGUCCAGAGGUAUACAGUGGUCUACAGACUGUCCUCCUGGAGACAGACCAACAGUCUUUUCUCUUUUAAACAAAACAAUUAUUUAACAGUACCAAAAUCAAAACAGACACUAAACUUUCACUAUCUUUUUAUUUGAUUUCUGUCCUCCUGGAGACAGUCCUGUCUGUCCAGACGUCUACAGACUGUCCUCCUGUAGGAUUACCCCACUCAGAAUCUCUGUUACUCUGCAGUAAAGAGGUGGAAGUGAGAAAUUCUGUGUUACUUUGUAAGCCAUUACAACAACACAUGACUAAGAAGGUGAAGAUGACGGGGCGGCAGGGUAGCCUAGUGGUUAGAGCAUUGGACUAGGAACCAGAAGGUUGCAAGUUCAAGCCCCUGAGCUGACAAGGUACAAAUCUGUUGUUCUGCCCCUGAACAGGCAGUUCCUAGGCCGUCAUUGAAAAUAAGAAUUUGUUCUUAACUGACUUGCCUAGUUAAAUAAAAGUUUAAAAAAAUAUAUAUCACAAGUUUAAUAGUCCAGAGUGGUAGUACUGUGAAUCUUAGAAGUGCUGAGCCCUGAGGGGUACAGGCAGAAGGUUUGUCCUAUUGCAGUAAUGGCUGUAGAGAAGCAUUAUGUUGCUGCAUGUGACCAGAUACUAGACCAUCAGCCCCAGAUGUCUAUAUUCAGUCCAUCAACCCCAGAUGUCUGUAUUCAGACCAUCAGCCCCAGAUGUCUACAUUCAGUCCAUCAGCCCCAGAUGUCUAUAUUCAGUCCAUCAGCCCCAGAUGUCUGUAUUCAGACCAUCAGCCCCAGAUGUCUAUAUUCAGUCCAUCAGCAUCAGAUAUCUAUAUUCAGACCAUCAGCCCCAGAUGUCUGUAUUCAGUACAGCAGAUAACACUACCUCUUCAUCUGAAGACACUAAACCAACAGUCUUUUCUCUUUUAAACAAAACAAUUAUUUAACAGUACCAAAAUCAACAGACACUAAACUUUCACUAUCUUUUUAUUUGAUUUCUGAAUGUCAUUUUCCCCUACAUGGGUUUAGCUGUAGUGGAUAUAUUUUGGGAGGUACUUGAGAAAUGUACAGCAAACAGGAAGUCCAAUGGUUUCGUUGACGAGAACCCUUUAGAGUUCAAUUUGAAAGAACCCAGUAGAGAUACUGACUCCCAAAUGGAACACUAUUUACUACAUAGUUUAGACUGGGCUCCUUAGUGCACUACUGUUGACCAGAGCCCUAUGUGGGGAACAGGGUGUCAUUUGGGACGCAGUCACUCCGAGACGAUCUGACCACUGUGUCCUACAGACUGGUAUGUGUUGGGUUACGGAGAGAUGAUCUGACCACUGUGUCCUACAGACUGGUAAGUGUUGGGUUACGGAGAGAUAAUCUGACCACUGUGUCCAACAGACUGGUAAGUGUUGGGUUACGGCGAGACGAUCUGACCACUGUGUCCAACAGACUGGUAAGUGUUGGGUUACGGAGAGAUGAUCUGACCACUGUGUCCUACAGACUGGUAAGUGUUGGGUUACGGAGAGACGAUCUGACCGCUGUGUCCUACAGACUGGUAAGUGUUUGGUUACGGAGAGACGAUCUGACCACUGUGUCCUACAGACUGGUAAGUGUUGGGUUACGGAGAGACGAUCUGACCACUGUGUCCAACAGACUGGUAAGUGUUGGGUUACGGAGAGAUGAUCUGACCACUGUGUCCUACAGACUGGUAAGUGUUGGGUUACGGAGAGACGAUCUGACCACUGUGUCCAACAGACUGGUAAGUGCUGGGUUAUGGAGAGACGAUCUGACCACUGUGUCCUACAGACUGGUAAGUGUUGGGUUACGGAGAGACGAUCUGACCACUGUGUCCAACAGACUGGUAAGUGUUGGGUUACGGAGAGAUGAUCUGACCACUGUGUCCUACAGACUGGUAAGUGUUGGGUUACGGAGAGACGAUCUGACCACUGUGUCCAACAGACUGGUAAGUGCUGGGUUAUGGAGAGACGAUCUGACCACUGUGUCCUACAGACUGGUAAGUGUUGGGUUACGGAGAGACGAUACAAUUGAUGCAUUGUGACUCUUGUACAUGUUCUACAGAUCUACAGUUAUUAACCUGUACAGUGACAGUUCAACCACUAGUCUAGAGUUGUACUACCUUCUACUAGAGUUGUACUACAUUCUACUAGAGUUGUACUACCUUCUACUAGAGUUGUACUACCUUCGACUAGAGUUGUACUACCUUCUACUAGAGUUGUACUACCUUCUACUAGAGUUGUACUACCUUCUACUAGAGUUGUACUACCUUCUACUAGAGUUGUACUACAUUCUGCAUGUCCAGAAAACUGUUGAAACAGUCGGUCAGAUUGUUUAACACAAUAAAAUAGGAAAAUCUAUAACGAUGUGGCAGUCUUCGCCAUACUGGCUACUGGACAUGUAAGGAUUGACAUUUCUAAAAGGUUGCAUCUUGGACAUUCACAGCUGGCACGCCAUUUUAGAAAUUUCCCUGACUGAGAGGCAGGUGUAAAGCCAAACGCGGUUGUCCGAACCCCCCCACACAAACUCCAACUAACACUCUGCAACACUACAAGACAUCACCCCCUCACAACACUACAACCCGACUCCGACACAGGCCCUUAGAGGGCUUUGUUGUUUAAACCUCCCCUCACCUCUUCAUAAGGUACACAUCAUCCCAUAUUAAACAUGGCUACCUCUUCAUCUCAACAGGCACCAUUUUAAGACCUCAAUAUCUCACUUUAGAUAAUCUUCAAGAAGAGUGUUGAAAACAACCACUGUAACUACAUCCCUAAUGAAACCUUAUACCCUAUAUAGUGCGCUACUUUGACCAGGGCCCUAUGGCACUGUAUUUGGUAUUUUAUUAGGAUCCCCAUUGGCUGUUGCAAAAGCAGCAGCUACUCUUCCUGGGGUUCCACACAGAACAUGAAACAUAAUAUAGAACAUUAAUAGACAAGAACAGCUCAAUGACAGAACUACAUACAUUUUUAAAAAGGCACACGUAGCCUACAUAUCAAUGGACAAACUAUCUAGGUCAAAUAGGGGAGAGGCGUUGUGCCAUGAGGUGUUGUUUUAUCUGUUUUUUGAAACCAGGUUUGCUGUUUAUUUGAGCAAUAUGAGAUGGAAGGAAAGUCCAUGCAAUAAGGCUCUAUAUAAUACUGUACGUUUUCUUGAAUUUGUUCUCGAUUUGGAGACUGUGAAAAGACCCCUGGUGGCAUGUCUGCUGGGAUAAGUGUGUGUCAGAGCUGUAUGUAAGUUGACUAUGCAAACAAUUUGGGAUUUUCAACGCUGUUUAUUGUAAAAAGAAAUAAGUGAUGCAGUCAGUUUCUCCUCAACUCUUAUCCAGGAGAGACUGGCAUGUAUAGUAUUUAUAUCAGUCCUCUGAUUACAAUGAAGAGCAAGACGUGCUGCUCUGUUCUGGACCAGCUGCAGCUUAACUAGGUCUUUCCUUGCAGCACUGGACCACACGACUGGACAAUAAUCAAGAUUAGACCAAACUAGAGCCUGCAGGAAUUGCUUUGUGGUGUCAAAAAAGCAGAGCAUCUCUUUAUUAUGGACAGACCUUUCCCCAUCUUUACAACCACUGAAUCUAUAUGUUUUGACCAUGACAGUUUACAUUCUAAGGUAACACCAAGUAUUUUAGUCUCUUCAACUUGUUCAACAGCCACACCAUUCAUUACCAGAUUCAGUUGAGGUCUAGAACUUAGGGAAUGAUAUGUACCAAAUACAAUGCUCUUAGUUGAAUAGAUGUUCAGGACCAGUUUAUUAUUGUCCACGCAUUCCAAAACAGACUGCAACUCUUUGUUAAGGGUUUCAGUGAGUUCAUUAGCUGUGGUUGCUGAUGCGUAUAUGGUUGAAUCAUCAGCAUACAUGAACACACAUGCUUUGUUUAAUGCAAGUGGCAGGUCAUUGUCUAUAAGCAUGCAAAAUGUCUGUUAAUUUGUUUACAGAAGGGCCUCACAGGGUGGCUUAGUGGUCUAAGGCACUGCAUCGCAGUGCUAGCUGUGCCACUAGAGAUUCUGGGUAAGAGACCAUGGGGCGGCGCACAAUUGGCCCAGCGUCGUCCGGGUUAGGGAGGGCUUGGUCGGCAGGGAUAUCCUGGUCUCAUCGCGCACUCCUGUGUUGGGCUGGGCGCACUGCACGCUGACCAGGUGUUUCCUCUGACACAUUGGUGUGGCUGGCUUCUGGGUUGGUUGUGCAUUGUGUCAAGAAGCAGUGCGGCUUGGUUGGGUUGUGUUUCGGAGGAAGCAUGGCUCUUGACCUUCACCUCUCCCAAGGUUGUACGGGAGUUGCAGUGAUGAGACAAGACUGUAACUACUACCAAUUGGAUACCAUGAAAUUGGGGGGUAAAAAAAGAAAAUUUACAGAGAAAUAGCAUUGUAUUUGGUCAAACACAAUUUUUUCCAACAGUUUGCUAAGAGCUGGCAGCAAGCUUAUAGGUCUGCUGUUAGAACCAGUAAAGGCUGCUUUACCACUCUUAGGUAGCGGAAUUACUUUGGCUUCCCUUCAGGCCUGAGGACAAAGACUUUCCUCUAGACUCAGAUUAAAGAUAUGACAGAUAGGAGUGGCUAUAGAGUCAGCCACCAUCCUUAGUAGCUUUCGAUCUAAGUUGUCAAUGCCAGGAGGUUUUUCAUUAUUUAUUUUUUUAUGCAUUAAUAUAAUUGCUCACUGUUUGUCGUGGGCAUUUCCUGCCUAAGUUUGCCCAUUUUGCAAAUGAAAUAAUCAUUAAAAUAAUUGGCAACAAAUGGUUUUGUGAUGAAUAAGUCAUCUGAUUUGAUGAAAGAUGGAGUUUAAUUUAGGGUUGAAUUUGUCUUUCUGUCCAUUAUUUCAUUUAAAAUACAAACGUUUUUUUCUCCAAAAUUCUUUAUAUAAUUGAUCUUGGCUUCUUCUUCUUUUUGUUGAGUUUAGUCACAUAAUUUCUCAAUUUGCAGUAAGUCAGCCAGUCAGAUGUGCAGCCAGACUUAUUAGCCACUCCUUUUGCCUCCAUCUCUUUCAACCAAUACAGUUUUUCAAUUCCUCAUCAAUCCAUGGAGCCUUUACAGUUCUAACAGUCAGUUUCUUAACAGGUUCAUGUUUAUCAAUAAUUGGAAGAGGCAAUUUCAUACAUUCAUCAAGUGCAGUGUCUGGAUGCUGCGUAUUAAUCACAUCAGACCAACAAAUAUGUUUAAUAUCAUCCACAUAAGCAAAAUCUUUUGUAUGAUCUCUUAUACACUAUUUUAGGACCAGCUGAUGGAACUUUGGCUUUCCUGCAUAUAGCCACUAUAUUGUGCUCACUGCAUCCAAUGGGUAUGGAUAUAGGUUUAGAAUAAAGUUCUACAGCAUUAGUAAAUAUGUGAUCGAUAUAUGUGGAUGAUCUUGUUCCUUUAGUGUUUGUAAACACCCUGAUAGGUUGAUUAAUAACCUGAACCAGAUUACAGGCACUGGUCACAGUGAGAAGCUUCCUCUUGAGCAGACAGCUUGAUUUAAACCAGUCAAUAUUCAGGUCCCCAAGAAAGUAGACCUCUCUGUUUACAUCACAUACACUAUCAAGCAUUUCACACAUAUUAUUUAGAUACUGACCGUUAGCACUUGGUGGCCUAUAGCAACACCCCAAAAGAAAAGGCUUUAGAUGUGCCAGGUGAACCUGCCACCACAACACUUCAAUAACACUUAAGAUCUUCUCUAAGCAUUAUACGGCUCUGAAUAUAUACAGCAACACCUCCCCCAUAAGCAUUACAGGGAUAUGACUGAAUAUAUACAGCAACACCUCCCCCAUAAACAUUACAGGGAUAUGACUGAAUAUAUACAGCAACACCUCCCCCAUAAACAUGCCUGUCUCUUCUGUAAAUGUUAUAUCCUUGUAUUGCUACUGCAGUAUCAUCAAAUUAAUUAUUUAAGUGAGUCUCAAAUGGCUAAUAUAUGAAUGUUAUCAAGUUAUUGACUUUAUUUCUAAAGCUGCAUAUAUUAAUAUGAGCUAUUUUCGACCCUUUCCUGGGUAGCUUAUCAGAGACAGACAUAAUACUGAAAAGAGCGAACAAAGCAAGAGAAAGACAUAUACAUUCAGCAGUCCAUUAAUCAGUUGGUGUGUGUGUGUGCUGCGGGGUUGAAGCUACGAGCCCAUAGGCUCGGCUCUCUCAUCCCUUCCAGGCUUCUGGGAGGAAGGGUGGACAAUGAGGCUGUCAUAGUGGAUGUAUGCAAUGUCCUCACGCACUCUGGCAGUUUCAUGGCUGGGAUCAGUUCUUUCCUCUUCUGGCGCACAGUUUCAAGAUAGUCCUUGUUGAGGAAGAUGCACAUUCCUCUCAAGUUCUUGACUCUUUCCAAAACAGCUACCUUGUCCUUGAACCUCAGGAACUUGACCACUAUCGGUCUGGGCCUGUCACCUGCAAUCUUCCUGUGGUCCAUCUUCAAUUUCUCAGAUCAUUUCCCUCACUUUGCUCUCAGACUCCGUCCAGGUCUCAUGUUGAGAUUCUGCAAUUCGGUCCACAACCAUGUUCUGCCUUGUUAUCCCUCGAGAUAAGAAUGAUGUAAAAAUCUGAUUAUCAUGGAUUCACAUACAGAACUGCUGUCAUCUUGCCCGUUCUCCUGUUUCAACUCGUCGAGCUGACCCUGGGAGAACUGCAAACUGUUCUUCAGGUCUUGGACCUCUCUGGUCAGGUCGUCCAUUCUUUUAUUAGUAGGAUCCACAAGUAUUUGGACAAAACACUUGAAGCUAUUUUCUUGUUGUAACGACUGCUUGUAGGUAUUUUUUGUAGGUAUUUUUUGUGUGAUAGAGAGACACCACUGUCCUCAACAGUACUCCUGCCAGCUUUGGUCUUUGUCAUGGUAGCUAGCAACGUAGGUUAUGCUGUUACUCCUCUCAGUUCCAGACAGGGCAGGUCACAGGGAAGAUUGAAAACAACAAACAGCAGGGAUCGAGACAGCCACAAACCCGGGUCAAUGAGCGGUCCCAGCCACAAUGGCUAACCGCGUCGCGGACUGCGUUCAAGAACACCCCGCUAACUUGAUAUGCAGCUAGGCUAGCAGCUAGGCUAGCUGAGACGCCAAAUAGCUCCUCAGACCCAUCCUUGGUCGGCAGGAUCACUGGAAAGAGACAAGCAGUCCCAGCAACUAUUCCCUAUGUAUAGUGCACUAUUUUAGACCGCACCUCUAUGGCACCCUAUUCUCUAUAUAUAGUGCACUACUUUAGACCGUGGCCCUAUGGGCCCUGUAUAUGGAAUAAAAGGCUGCAGAAAUAAUUAUAAUGUAAAAAAAAACACAAAACCAGAUGAGAGAGAUGUGAAAAUGAAGGAAGCAGAGAUGGAGGAAGGGAAAGCAGAAAGUCAAAUCAGAUAUGAACAGUAAGAAAUGGGCGGAGGGGAUGUCCUUAGCCCCUGGGAUGUCCUUAGCCCCUGGCGGAGGGGAUGCCCUUAGCCCCUGGCGGAGGGGAUGCCCUUAGCCCCUGGCGGAGGGGAUGCCCUUAGCCCCUGGCGGAGGGGAUGCCCUUAGCCCCUGGCGGAGGGGAUGUCCUUAGCCCCUGGCGGAGGGGAUGUCCUUAGCCCCUGGCGGAGGGGAUGCCCUUAGCCCCUGGCGGAGGGGAUGUCCUUAGCCCCUGGCGGAGGGGAUGCCCUUAGCCCCUGGCGGAGGGGAUGUCCUUAGCCCCUGGCGGAGGGGAUGUCCUUAGCCCCUGGCGGAGGGGAUGCCCUUAGCCCCUGGCGGAGGGGAUGUCCUUAGCCCCUGGCGGAGGGGAUGGGAUGUCCUUAGCCCCUGGCGGAGGGGAUGCCCUUAGCCCGAUGUCCUUAGCCCCUGGCGGAGGGGAUGCCCUUAGCCCGAUGUCCUUGGCCCCUGGAGG